CCUACGGGUGGCAGCAGUGAGGAAUAUUGGGCAAUGGGCGCGAGCCUGAACCAGCCAAGUCGCGUGAAGGAUGACUGCCCUAUGGGUUGUACACUUCUUUUAUAUGGGAAUAAACUGUUCCACGUGUGGGAUUUUGUAUGUACCAUAUGAAUAAGGAUCGGCUAACUCCGUGCCAGCAGCCGCGGUAAUACGGAGGAUCCGAUCGUUAUCCGGAUUUAUUGGGUUUAAAGGGAGCGUAGGUGGGUUGUUAAGUCAGUUGUGAAAGUUUGCGGCUCAACCGUAGAAUUGCAGUUGAAACUGGCAGUCUUGAGUACAGUAGAGGUGGGCGGAAUUCGUGGUGUAGCGGUGAAAUGCUUAGAUAUCACGAAGAACUCCGAUUGCGAAGGCAGCUCACUGGAGUGAAACUGACACUGAGGCUCGAAAGUGUGGGUAUCAAACAGGAUUAGAUACCCCGGUAGUC
This 460-nucleotide ribosomal RNA is filed under the name uncultured bacterium. RNAcentral describes it as "partial 16S ribosomal RNA". It matches the Rfam family "Bacterial small subunit ribosomal RNA", at positions 338 to 795 of the family's 1533-position model. The record is from RNAcentral.